GACGAACGCUGGCGGCGUGCUUAACACAUGCAAGUCGAACGGUGAAGCGCUUUCCUUUUUGGUUGGUGUGGAUGAGUGGCGAACGGGUGAGUAACACGUGAGUAACCUGCCCCCUUCUUCUGGAUAACCGCAUGAAAGUGUGGCUAAUACGGGAUAUUCUGCGCCUGCUGCAUGGUGGGUGUGGGAAAGAUUGUGCCUUUGGGUGUUUUCGGUGGGGGAUGGGCUUGCGGCCUAUCAGCUUGUUGGUGGGGUGAUGGCCUACCAAGGCGGUGCCGGGUAGGAGGCCUGAGAGGGUGGACGGUAACAAUGGGACUGAGAAACGGCCAAGACUGCUACGGGAGGCAGCAGUGGGGAAUAUUGCACAAUGGGCGCAAGCCUGAUGCAGCGAAGCCGAGUGAGGGAUGGAGGCCUUCGGGUUGUGAACCUCUGUAGAAAGUGAAGCAGGCCUGAUCCUUGUGGUGGGUUGACGGUAGCUGGAUAAGAAGCGCCGGCUAACUACG
Molecule: ribosomal RNA, 500 nt
Filed under: uncultured bacterium
Lineage: Bacteria
Description: partial 16S ribosomal RNA
Rfam family: Bacterial small subunit ribosomal RNA
Source: RNAcentral